Molecule: ribosomal RNA, 633 nt
Filed under: Knoutsodonta sp. A JMH-2015
Lineage: Eukaryota; Metazoa; Mollusca; Gastropoda; Nudibranchia; Onchidorididae
Description: eukaryotic LSU rRNA
Rfam family: Eukaryotic large subunit ribosomal RNA (bases 1-290)
Source: RNAcentral
UCCCUCAGUAACGGCGAGUGAAGCGGGAUCAGCCCAGCACCGAAUCCCCCGGCCGGCAGGCCGGCGGGAACUGUGGUGUGCGGGACGCCGCCAGUCGCGCGCGCCGACACCGAAGUCUUCCUGAUAGGGGCCUCUCCCGCGGCGGGUGUAAGGCCUUUGCGGGUGCCUCGGCGCGCGGCCGCGAGCGUCCCAGGAGUCGGGUUGUUUGGGAAUGCAGCCCUAAGCGGGUGGUAAACUCCAUCUAAGGCUAAAUACUGGCGCGAGUCCGAUAGCGGACAAGUACCGUGAGGGAAGGUUGAAAAGAACUUUGAAGAGAGAGUUCAAGAGUACGUGAAACUGCCCAGAGGUAAACGGCCGGACCCGCAGAGUCGGCCGUCGGGAUUCAGACCGGAUCGGGUCCGGGGCGCGGCGGGCGGUGCGGAUCUCACGACCGCCCCCGCCCGCGCUCGCCGCCCGGCUCCGGGUGCACUUCCCGUCGGUCGAGCGCCACGACCGGCUCCCCGCCGGCCACGAGCCCGGCGAGGAAGGUGAGCGGACCGCGCCGCGGUUCCGCCGUUACAGCCUGGCCGCGGAUCGGGCCCGGCGAGGGGCCGAGGGGAAUCCACCGCGCUCCGGCGCGCGGGCCGCCGGGUC